CCUGGCGGCCUUAGCGCGGUGUCCCACCUGACCCCAUGCCGAACUCAGAAGUGAAACGCCGUAGCGCCGAUGGUAGUGUGGGGUCUCCCCAUGCGAGAGUAGGGAACUGCCAGGC
Molecule: ribosomal RNA, 115 nt
Filed under: Escherichia coli
Lineage: Bacteria; Pseudomonadati; Pseudomonadota; Gammaproteobacteria; Enterobacterales; Enterobacteriaceae
Source: RNAcentral